AUUCCAGCUCCUAUAGCGUAUAUUAAAGUUGUUGCGGUUAAAAAGCUCGUAGUUGGAUUUCUGGGAAGGACGACCGGUCCACCCACUGGGUGAGAACAUGGUUCGGCUUGACCAUUUUCUUGGAGAACGCUGCUGCGCUUCAAUGUGUGGGGUGGUAUCCAAGACUUUUACUUUGAGGAAAUUAGAGUGUUUCAAGCAGGCGCACGCCCUGAACACAUUAGCAUGGAGUAAUGAGGUAAGACCUUGGCUCUAUUUUGUUGGUUUCUAGAGCUGAGGUAACGAUUAAUAGGGAUAGUCGGGGGCAUUCGUAUUUAACUGUCAGAGGUGAAAUUCAUGGAUUUGUUAAAGACGGACUACUGCGAAAGCAUUUGCCAAGGAUGUUUUCAUCA
This 389-nucleotide ribosomal RNA is filed under the name Dinophyceae sp. RNAcentral describes it as "partial small subunit ribosomal RNA". It matches the Rfam family "Eukaryotic small subunit ribosomal RNA", at positions 582 to 975 of the family's 1831-position model. Lineage: Eukaryota; Dinophyceae. The record is from RNAcentral.